Molecule: ribosomal RNA, 485 nt
Filed under: uncultured bacterium
Lineage: Bacteria
Description: partial 16S ribosomal RNA
Rfam family: Bacterial small subunit ribosomal RNA
Source: RNAcentral
GACGAACGCUGGCGGCGUGCUUAACACACGCAAGUCGAACGGUGAAAGCGGAGCUUGCUCCGCUGGAUCAGUGGCGAACGGGUGAGUAACACGUGGGCAACCUGCCCCUCACUUCGGGAUAACUCCGGGAAACCGGGGCUAAUACCGGAUAUGACCUCCUUGGGCAUCCUUGGAGGUGGAAAGUUUUUCGGUGAGGGAUGGGCCCGCAGCCUAUCAGCUUGUUGGUGAGGUAGUGGCUCACCAAGGCGACGACGGGUAGCCGGCCUGAGAGGGCGACCGGCAACACUGGGACUGAGACACGGCCCAGACUCCUACGGGAGGCAGCAGUGGGGAAUAUUGCGCAAUGGGCGAAAGCCUGACGCAGCAACGCCGCGUGCGGGAUGACGGCCUUCGGGUUGUAUACCGCUUUCAGCAGGGAAGAAGCCGCAAGGUGACGGUACCUGCAGAAGAAGCACCGGCUAACUACGUGCCAGCCGCCGCGGUAA